AUACGGAGGGUGCGAGCGUUAAUCGGAAUUACUGGGCGUAAAGCGUGCGUAGGCGGUUGAUUUAGUCAGAUGUGAAAGCCCCGGGCUCAACCUGGUAACUGCAUUUGAAACUGGUCAACUGGAGUAUGGUAGAGGGGGGUAGAAUUUCUGGUGUAGCGGUGAAAUGCGUAGAUAUCAGAAGGAAUACCGAUGGCGAAGGCAGCCCCCUGGACCAAUACUGACGCUGAGGUACGAAAGCGUGGGGAGCAAACAGGAUUAGAAACCCCAGUAGUCC
RNAcentral lists this ribosomal RNA (274 nucleotides) under uncultured bacterium. Its description in RNAcentral is "partial 16S ribosomal RNA". It matches the Rfam family "Bacterial small subunit ribosomal RNA", at positions 523 to 796 of the family's 1533-position model. The record is from RNAcentral.